Propithecus coquereli (Coquerel's sifaka) is the source of this 427-nucleotide RNA transcript. It is a transcript of the gene named forkhead box protein P1-like, with no coding region annotated. The record is from RefSeq and is a predicted model, not a curated record. The transcript has 3 exons. NCBI's taxonomy places the organism in Eukaryota, Metazoa, Chordata, Mammalia, Primates, Indriidae.
GGUAAGACGUGACCUUUUGAGGUGACUAUAACUGAAGAUUGCUUUACAGAAGCCAAAAAAGGUUUUUGAGUCAUGAUGCAAGAAUCUGGGACUGAGACAAAAAGUAACGGUUCAGCCAUCCAGAAUGGGUCGAGCGGCAGCAACCACUUACUAGAGUGCGGCAGUCUUCGGGAGGGGCGGUCCAACGGAGAGACCCCGGCGGUGGACAUCGGAGCGGCCGACCUCGCCCACGUCCAGCAGCAGCAGCAACAGCAGCAUCUAAAAGGCCACCAGACCUCUAGGGUUCCUACUGGUUGGCUUCAGAGACUAAUUUUCGAGUCCUUGGGCCUUGGAAGUCUUGGAAGUCCCCUUGUGGGGAGCAGUUGCUGAGACGCAGAUUGAGGGGACCUCUGGCUACUCCCUUGCAGCCCCCAACGUGUCUGCCUAA